CUCUCAGUUCGGAUUGGAGUCUGCAACCCGACUCCAUGAAGCUGGAUUCGCUAGUAAUCGCGCAUCAGCCACGGCGCGGUGAAUACGUUCCCGGGCCUUGUACACACCGCCCGUCAAGCCAUGAAAGCCGGGGGUACCUGAAGUGCGUAACCGCAAGGAGCGCCCUAGGGUAAAACUGGUGAUUGGGGCUAAGUCGUAACAAGGUACC
Molecule: ribosomal RNA, 208 nt
Filed under: uncultured bacterium
Lineage: Bacteria
Description: partial 16S ribosomal RNA
Rfam family: Bacterial small subunit ribosomal RNA
Source: RNAcentral